RNAcentral lists this long non-coding RNA (443 nucleotides) under Homo sapiens (human). Its description in RNAcentral is "HSALNT0370865". Lineage: Eukaryota; Metazoa; Chordata; Mammalia; Primates; Hominidae. The record is from RNAcentral.
AGUGUGGCAUCAAGCAGAUGAAUUGGGCGCAUUGCAUCUGAUUCAGCCUCUUGAGGAGAAAGACUUCAUACUGAUCCAAAUAGACUCCCGAGAGGCAGAAAGAGGAAAAUGAUAAAUAAAUGCCAGCCAAGCUCUAAAAUGGAACACUCUAGCUGUGUGGCCACUGCUUUAAUGAAGACAGCUGCCAUUCUGUGAGCUGUUCUAUGAAGGAGCCCACUUGGCAAGGAACUGGGGGAGGUCUCAGAUUAACAGCCAGCAAGAAACUGAAUCCUGCUAACAACCACCUGAAUGAACAUGAAAGCAGACCCUUCCCCAAUUGAGUCUUCAGAUGAGACCCAGUGCUCACCUGCACCUAGGUUGGAGCCCUAAGAGAAACCUUGAAGCAGAGGAACCAGCUUAACCUGAUCCAUGGAAACUAUAAAAUAAAAUGUGUGUUGUUUAAA